UCUCUCUCUGACGCACUCUCUCUUUUCCUCUCAGAUUUUUUUUACUCUCUUUUUCUUUCUUUCUUCUCUCUUCCGCCUCUUUUCCUCUAGGUUCUUUAACUUCUUUUUACUUCUUUCUUUCUUCACUCUUCUGCCUCUUUUCCUCAGUUUUUUCUUCUUCUUUCUCUCUUAUUCUUUCUCCUCUCAAUUCGUCUCCAUUUUUUUUCCCUCUCUUUCUCUGAUUUUCUGUUACUCUGAUUUUUUUCUUCUUGGUUUUAUGUUUCUCUCUCUCCCUCUAUAUCUCUUUCUUUGCAACUCUGUUUUUCAAUUUCUCCUUUUUUUUCUCUCUUCAUUUUUUGUUUCUCUGUACAUAUAUGUGUUCAUCUUGUAGAUCUGGGUGAAAUUCUUGUAGAUCUAGGUGAAGUUCUUGGAGAUCUGCGUUAAGUUCUUGUAGAUCUAGGUAAAGAGCCAAUUCAAAGCAGGUCAGCGUCUCUUAUCUCCCCAAUCCCUUGUGAAGAUAUGUAUUUUUUUUGUUGUCAACAAUCCAUUUUGGUGUUUUUAUAUGGUAUUGAUAUUUUCUAUGAUUUUGGGCUGAUUUGAGGUCUGAUUCUUUUUUUUUCUUUCAAUUUUUUCCUGUUGUGUUUUGAUAGACAUGUUCUCUAUUCCUGAUAUCAUUCCUCAGUGGCAAAAUCUUUGAGCGUUGUUGUAAAUUUUAGACGGGAAAGAAGCUCAUUCAUAAUUCAAAAAAAGAAAAUAAAGUUACAACAACUGACAAUUUGUUGCUCUUUGAAAUAGGUACUGAAGUAGCAUGGAUAAAAAGAAAGACUGAAGAUGUUGCAGAAGAUUGAAUAUGUUCUAUUUCUGUAAUUUGUUUGUAAUUAAAUUUGUUUAUUUUGUUUUGUUUUUAGGUUGUAAGUUUUAUUUUAAUGUUUGAUAUUUGUUGUUUUGUCAAAAAAUUGUAUUAAUGCUUGAUGGAUUCAUUCAAUUUGCAGUGCGUGGAUGUGAAUUGGGCCAAUCGGUAAUAAUUAGGCCCAAAAGGUUUUAAAUAUCAAUUGGGCUGAAACUUACAAAAAAAUUUAAGAACAAAAAAAAAAUCAAUUAAGCUGUGUGUCGGCCCAAACCGUAAAAACCGGAACCGAACCGGAUUCAAAUGGGUUCGGGUUGGUCCGGUUUUCUCAAGCAUUUUAGUAAAAAUCCGAACCGGACCGGACCGGUGAACAGUACCGGUUCCGGUUUUAAAUUGAUGCAAAAACCGGUCCAAACCGGACCGUGCCCACCCCUAUUUUUUAUUUUUAUUUUUAAAUAUCAGUAAUAACUGGGAAAGCUUGCAUCUCCUUAAAUUGCUCAUUCUUACAUCUUUUAUAGUUUGUUGAUCUUGGGCAAGUGGAGAGAGAGGCGUCAAGUGAUACGCAACAACCAUUUUCUGUGAGCUGAUUUGAUAAAGAGAAAUGGUAUGCUUUCUUGUCUUAAGCGGUGUGUUCUGCAAUUAUUUGAAACAAAGGAUGCCGCACUUCAAGUUCGAGAAAAUCAGGUAUUUUAGUAUUUUAUUCUUGAGAAAUUUGAUUUAUGUAGAAACUUGAACAUGUAAAUGAGAGAAAAAAAAAUAAAUAUAUAUAUAUAUUAUAUAUUGUAUAUGCUGUUAAUGAGUUAAUAUGGUGCUUGCUCCUAGUUGGAAAUUUAUGUAGUCAUCUACCUAUGAUCAAAUAAAGAUGAAAAAUAAAAUAAAAUUGAGAGCAUCUUCCUCUCCCCUGCUUUGCUCAUCCCUUGUUCUUCCACUUCAGCCCCACUAUUACACCAUUUUUUUCAGCCACAAUUAUAAUAGCUCCAUGAGCAUUAAGUCCCUUUCAAAUUCUGCUGACAUUCAAAAUUGGAAUCUGCUGGUGAUAUAUGAUAGCGUUAACAUAUUGUACCAUUUUGGCCAGUGUACGCAAUAUUAUUGCAUCCAACUUUGCAUAUUAACAUCAGUGGCCACAGUUACACGAUUUGAGUGCACAGAAAGGUUUCAAAAGUUGUCCCACAGAGAACAGUCGUUCAAAGUGAGAGAGUUUUGAAAGCUUAAUUACAAGUUCAUGUUGUUUACAACCUCAAAAAGCUUUCAUACUUGCUUACAAACCUGUAUUUCCAAGUUCUGCAAACCUUGGAAUAUCACUUCAUCCAAAUCCCCUUCCAAAGCAGGAAAAAAUGGCAGCAGCUUUGAUUGGAGAGGCUCUCAUCUCUGCUUCUAUCGAGGUGUUGUGUGACAGAGUUACUUCAGCCGAGUUCAUAGACUUAUUUCAGCAGAAGAAACUUGAUGAAACACUCCUCAUGAACCUGAAGACGACACUGUUGAUUUUGUUUGCGGCGCUCAAUGAUGCAGAGGAGAAGCAAAUUGUGAACCCUGCUGUGAUAGAGUGGCUUAACAGCUCAAGCAUGCUGUCUUUGAUGCAGAGGACUUACUUGAUGAGAUUGACACUGAAGCUUUGCGAUGCAAGCUGGAAGGUGAGGAUCAAACCCACAAUAAUUAACCAACAAGGAUCUUUUUGAUUGUUUGAAAGGAGGGUCUUUGAUGAUUUGAAAGGAGAGGGUUGCUUCAUUUCUGUUGGAUGCUUAAUUAAAUCUUAUCUGGACUUGAACAAGGAUUAGGUUAGCUGUAUAAUUCGUGGUAAACACCUUUUUCUAAGGUUCAUUUAGACUCCUAUUACGAUUAAUUUGUUGUUUCUAAUUUGGACUUGUAGGAACAGACCAAAUAUGUUCACACGUGGCAUCGUUCAAGUCAUCAUCAUUUCAGACAAAAUCAGCCUUCAAGUGUCUGCUGACUCAAUGAACCUUUCUAGAUAUAUCAAGUGCAAUGGAAAUUCAAGAGUUACAUAGAGAUUUGUAAACAUUUUGAAGAUUGCAACACCUGCAAGUGAGAUAGGUGGUGACGAAAUCAGAGCUGAUCUUGAAGCCUCUGAUGCCCCUGUCGUUGCAAGUUGCACCUGAGAACAUGGUUUUUUUUUGGGUAAAAAACCAGCAACAUGUUCGGGGCUGGCAAUUCAAUCCCUGAUGAACUUGAGAAGCAAAGCUCCAGUAAGGAAAUUGGUCGAGGUCACGACAGGGAUAAUUGAUGGUGAAAUGGAUGCUAUUUCUUAUUGCAGCCUGUUCUCAAAGUUCUUGUUGGCAAAAGCAAGAGAUGGAGUAUUUUGAUUGGGAGGAGAGAUAAUGACAUGUGUUGACAAUUCUAGAACAGCCCAUCUGAGUUCUUUUGUCAGGCUGCAUCAUUUAAUCCCAGCAAAAAUCCAGUUUUUGCUAAACAAUCAAAUUGUACACAUUUUUUCUUUUCGAGGAAUUUAACAUUACACAUUUUUUCAUUUUUUCAUCAAACAGUUUUCUAAUGCAUUUGUUGUCCCAAGUUACAAUGAGGAAUUUGGAUUGAGUUUCUUGUGUUAAUAACAUUAUACUUUCAUGGAAUGGUUUAUCUUCUUUUUCUGGACAAAAAUAUUUAGAUUAAUUUCUUGGAAUAAUUUUUUAAUAAUUUUUUAAUUGCAGUAGCGAAAAAAGGAAAAUUGUAUUUUUCAAAACCAAUCUUAAGUCCAGUUUCCUCUUCUUGGUCGUCACACUUGGAAAUUGCUAACCAUAUAUAACUUGGGGUAACAAUCUUAGUCCGAAUGUGUACGAUCUUAGUCCGAUCAAUGGCUACGCGUAUUGGCUCGGCCUUGGGGUCUACCAUUCCAGUGUACAAGCUUCCUGGGUCUUGGGGCAAUUCCUUCAAAUUGUACACAUGUUUUCUUUGAGAAGCAAGGCUCUAGUAAGGAAAUUGGUUAUGUAACAAAUUUUGGUCCCUUUGGAUGGAAUGAUUUACAAUGAGGAAUUUUAUUAUUAUUAUUUUGUUUUUGUUGUUAGUGUAAUGAAAAUGAUCUAGGUUCAUACACUGGGUAUAGCUCUAAUUUGGCCAAUUUCAUUAUUUUAGUUUCUUCAUAUUUUCAAUUAUUAUAAUUUGGUGCGUUGUUUUUUAAAAACAUUCAUGAGAAUCUCCAUUUUUUAGGUGUUUAAGUUAUUCAUCCACAACGGUUUUAUAAUACCGUCAUCUUUUCAAACACAACGAUGAUUUUUUAAUCUAUCGUCGUUGUUUUCUGAUCGUCUUUUUCACUUUUUGUAGUAGUGUCAAUAAGUAAGAUGAAAUAAUACAUUCACAAUCUGUUUAAAUUUUAAAUUAAAAAAAACACAAGAAAAUUUUAAAUAAGUAAGUAAUUUUAAAUAUAUAUUUCCAUUGUUUUGGUUUUCUUUUCAUAUUAGUUUUCUACUAGCUGCUAAUUUCAUUUAAAUUGUUUUUCUUACUUCAUUUAACUUUUAAGCAUGCAGAUGCAAUCAUGACUUCUUCUUUUUUUCAAUAGACUGAUUCUCUUCCCACAUAUAUAAUGCUCUCUAAGUAUUCGUAAUAUGAGUAGGAAUUUAUUUUCAUUUCACAAGAAUUGUCCAUCAAAUUCUGAUAGGUUUGUCGAUAGCACAAGCAUGCACAUAUAGACACUACAAGAACUUUGUUUCUUCAUUUUGUUUCCUAAAGAUUUGUUGGCUUCGUGCAGAUGAAUAACAAGUCUCUCUGUCCUCUAUUUCUUCUUUUUCUUUUUUAACAAUUCAUAUUCUACUUUCUGUUUUCACCCAGUAAAAAUUGAUUUUAGACAUGGGCUUCUAAAUUAUGUGCGGAUAAUGGUUGCAUUUAUAGAAUAUCCAUGGGCUUCUAGUCACCGUGGUUGUUGAUUCAGCAUGUCAUAUUACUCUUGGACUAGCUGUUGACACUACUACAUUUUACACUUUGCGCGACGAAGAACAAAACGUCGCGCAAAGUCGCAUUUAGUCGCCCCAAUUUCAGCGCGACAAAAACGUCGUCGCGCAUAUUCCGUCGCGCGAAGAUCGUGAAGAAAGCCUUUGCACGACGAGGUACAACCCUUCGUCGCGCAAAAGUGUGCGACGGGUAAACCAUCGUUGCACCAACGGUGUGGAGACGAAACAACCCUUCGUCGCAAAAAUAUUUGCGCGACGAUAAAUUAUGCGGCGCACGUAUAUUUGCGAGACGACGGGAAUUGCGCGACAAAACAUUAUUCGUCGCGCAAAAUAUGUAUGGGAGACGUAUAUGUUCGUCGCAGAACAAUUCGCGCGAUGAGAAAGUUUUCGUCGCACAUAUAAUUGCGCGACGAAAAAUUAUGUCGUCGGCCAAAUAUUUUGCGCGACGAAACAUUUCGUCGCGCAAAACGUGUUAUGUGUUCGUCGCGCAUGAAUUAAAAGUGAUAAAAAAAUAUUUGAUUUUUUUUUGUUACAUGUUGGUUUGCGCGACGAAAGAUUUUCCGUCGCGCAAAAAUAAUAUUACAAUUUUUUUUUUAUUUAUAUUUUUUAUUUGAUAUAAAAUUGGUUUCUUUUUAUUGAUUAAACAAUGAAAUUGCAAUAAAAAUAAAUUAGAAUAAAAUUUUGUUAUAAAAUAAAAUAAAAUAAAUGUAUUACAAAUAAAAUAAAUACACUAAUCAAAUAAUGAAUCAAAAUCAACCGAGUCGUCGCCAGUAUGCGGCUCGGAGGGCGGGGCGUUCACCGGGGCAGUGGUCUGGUGGGGAUGCCCGGGAUGGACGGGCUCAGAGGUCGGCGCAUCAAAAUGCGGGACUGGAAUGCCGGACUGUGCGAGGGACUGCAGAAUGACCGACAUCUGGCUCUGAAGAGUGGCCACCUGUGCUGUCAAAGCAGUGACCUGACUGUUUGACUGCGCCGAUGAACGAGGUCGAGGUUCCCUCCGCCGGGCAUUCCCCAUCCCUCGACAAUAUGUCCCCGGCCUCCUCCCGAGAGUCUGAUCCAACGUCUCCGUCAAUAUCUGAAAUCCAGCAUCCUGUGGAGGAGCCACAGACUCGAUCGGAGUCUCGGGAGGAAGCUGGGAGGCGGACUCCUGAAGAACAAGCUGGCUCCUCUCCACCAUCGUCGUCUGUUGAACAUAACAUAAAAUAUAAAUUAAAACAUGCAUAUAAAUUGAAUGCGUAACAUAAGAAUUAAAAUUAAAUAAUACUUACAUGAAGGGACUCGGCCAACUCAUUCCCGGGUCGAACAUAAACGUCACCAAAGACGUCGAUCUCUGGGAACUUGGACCCCUCCUAAAUUGAACAAGAGAAGAAAAAUAUUAGUAUGAAAAAAAUAAAUUAAUAAAAAUGACAUUAAAAAUGAAAUAAAAAUUUUGUGAUUAUUACCCGACGCCGUGCAUCCAUCCUAUAAGAAAAGGGUCUGGAGCCGGAAUGGUGGAGAAGGGUCUUCUUCUUCCUAUUACCCUUAUUCACUUGGGCUUUAUUCUGUUAUACAAAAAAUGAAACGUAUUAGUUAAAAUAUAAAAAAUUAAAUAAUAAUGAAAUAAAAAAAUAAAAUAAACAUUAAUAAGUAAUAAGUAAUAAUUAAACAAAUAUAAUUAAAAAAAUACCGCAAAUUCGGGCGCUUGAAAAUGAGCGCAGAGCCACUCCCAACUAUCCUCCCGCCCCUCAAGCUCCUUCGGGCAACCCUCCUGAAGAGCGACUUGCGGAUCAUCAUAGGCCUGAAAAUGGUGGUGCAAGUCGCUCUUCCACUGCUUGUACCUCUCAGCGAAGAGUCGGUUGACGUACGUCAACGACUCUUCGUCGAGAUCCUCCAAGUUAUAGUUCGUCUGCAAUCAAUUAAUUAGAUACGUUAAGUAAUAGAAAUAUACACAAUUUUAAAGAAAAAUAAUGAAAAUGUAAGGUACAUACCGACAACUGGCCGUGAAUCUCCGCCUGGAUCUCGUCAGGCAUGACCCUCCAAGACUUCCAUUGCAUCGGGCAAUGGGUCCGCACGACGUGGCCAAUGUCGUGGGCCAAGGAGCUAUGCAACUUCGCCGUCGGUGCAGCACGAUGGCGCUCGUCGUAUCCGAUGCUGAUACGACUGUUGGUCACCCGGGUGACCUUCGCCGUCUUCAGCUGACGACACGGUCCUCGGGUGUUCCUCUUCGCUGCAAAGAAAUAAGGUAUUAAUGUU
RNAcentral lists this long non-coding RNA (6948 nucleotides) under Prunus persica (peach). RNAcentral's name for it is "long non-coding RNA (PPER_LNC001935)". Lineage: Eukaryota; Viridiplantae; Streptophyta; Magnoliopsida; Rosales; Rosaceae. The record is from RNAcentral.